Folsomia candida is the source of this 218-nucleotide long non-coding RNA. RefSeq lists it as uncharacterized. NCBI's taxonomy places the organism in Eukaryota, Metazoa, Arthropoda, Collembola, Entomobryomorpha, Isotomidae. The transcript is spliced from 2 exons. The record is from RefSeq and is a predicted model, not a curated record.
UUGAGAAUGAUUAUUUUUUUGAUGCUACAUACUUUACUAAAUAGUUUGUCAUAUCUAUCUGCUUCUACCGGUGCUUUGGGCGACUGGAAUUCCACAUGAAGUUGACCAUGACACCGUAACUCUAAAAGAGAUAAGCAAUUACUUACGAAUCUUUAGCAAUGCCAACAUCCUUGGUCUGAAAUCCUUCCUGAGCCCUGAAAUAAAGAAUUGUAUCGCAA